This 280-nucleotide long non-coding RNA is filed under the name Nicotiana benthamiana. Its description in RNAcentral is "long non-coding RNA (NBEN_LNC012338)". Lineage: Eukaryota; Viridiplantae; Streptophyta; Magnoliopsida; Solanales; Solanaceae. The record is from RNAcentral.
GAAGAGAGCGUGGAUCAGGUGUCCUCUUGGAUGUUCCAAACCACCAUCUUGGACUUCCAGCAUUUGCUUCAGACAGAAAGUUUGGGACUCAAAGUGUGCCCUCAUGAGGCAGGGAAAAACUAAAAAAUGUGUCUUUUACGUAACUUGGAUAGCUGAGUGGUCAAUCCUGCACCAAUCGUUGAUGAGUUGUCUCGCUCGAAAGCCCAGUUGUCAUUUUUUAGAUAGAAUUCCAUACAGAGAUAAAACCUCGAAUCAAUCAUUUUUCUCGAGCCGUACGAGG